Molecule: transfer RNA, 87 nt
Filed under: Marivirga atlantica
Lineage: Bacteria; Pseudomonadati; Bacteroidota; Cytophagia; Cytophagales; Marivirgaceae
Rfam family: tRNA
About the family: Transfer RNA (tRNA) molecules are approximately 80 nucleotides in length. Their secondary structure includes four short double-helical elements and three loops (D, anti-codon, and T loops). Further hydrogen bonds mediate the characteristic L-shaped molecular structure. tRNAs have two regions of fundamental functional importance: the anti-codon, which is responsible for specific mRNA codon recognition, and the 3' end, to which the tRNAs corresponding amino acid is attached (by aminoacyl-tRNA synthetases). tRNAs cope with the degeneracy of the genetic code in two manners: having more than one tRNA (with a specific anti-codon) for a particular amino acid; and 'wobble' base-pairing, i.e. permitting non-standard base-pairing at the 3rd anti-codon position.
Source: Rfam by way of RNAcentral
GGAGAGGUGCCAGAGUGGUCGAUCGGGCUCGCCUGGAAAGUGAGUGUGCCUUCACGGGUACCGAGGGUUCGAAUCCCUCCCUCUCCG